UGAGUAACACGUGGGUGAUCUGCCCCUAACUUCGGGAUAAGCUUGGGAAACUGGGUCUAAUACCGGAUAGGACAAUCGUUUAGUGUCGGUUGUGGAAAGUUUUUUCGGUUAGGGAUGAGCCCGCGGCCUAUCAGCUUGUUGGUGGGGUAAUGGCCUACCAAGGCGUCGACGGGUAGCCGGCCUGAGAGGGUGGACGGCCACAUUGGGACUGAGAUACGGCCCAGACUCCUACGGGAGGCAGCAGUGAGGAAUCUUGGACAAUGGGGGAAACCCUGAUCCAGCCAUGCCGCGUGAGUGAUGAAGGCCCUAGGGUUGUAAAGCUCUUUCAGCGAGGAGGAUAAUGACGUUACUCGCAGAAGAAGCCCCGGCUAACUUCGUGCCAGCAGCCGCGGUAAUACGAAGGGGGCUAGCGUUGUUCGGAAUCACUGGGCGUAAAGCGCACGUAGGCGGAUUGAUAAGUUAGGG
This 465-nucleotide ribosomal RNA is filed under the name Thalassiosira rotula. RNAcentral describes it as "partial Bacterial small subunit ribosomal RNA". It matches the Rfam family "Bacterial small subunit ribosomal RNA", at positions 107 to 593 of the family's 1533-position model. The record is from RNAcentral. Lineage: Eukaryota; Bacillariophyta; Thalassiosirophyceae; Thalassiosirales; Thalassiosiraceae.